GGCCCAUUCGUCUAUUGGUUAGGACGUCAGGUUUUCAUCCUGGAAAGAGGGGUUCGAUUCCCCUAUGGGCUAUCA
RNAcentral lists this transfer RNA (75 nucleotides) under Blattabacterium punctulatus. Its description in RNAcentral is "tRNA-Glu". It matches the Rfam family "tRNA". Rfam says of the family: Transfer RNA (tRNA) molecules are approximately 80 nucleotides in length. The record is from RNAcentral. RNAcentral also lists the same sequence under 1 other name. Lineage: Bacteria; Pseudomonadati; Bacteroidota; Flavobacteriia; Flavobacteriales; Blattabacteriaceae.